CGGGUGAGUAAUACAUCGGAACGUGUCUUCUAGUGGGGGAUAACUGCCCGAAAGGGCAGCUAAUACCGCAUGGGACCUGAGGGUGAAAGCGGGGGAUCGCAAGACCUCGCGCUGGAAGAGCGGCCGAUGUCCGAUUAGCUAGUUGGUGAGGUAAAGGCUCACCAAGGCGACGAUCGGUAGCUGGUCUGAGAGGACGACCAGCCACACUGGGACUGAGACACGGCCCAG
Molecule: ribosomal RNA, 228 nt
Filed under: uncultured bacterium
Lineage: Bacteria
Description: partial 16S ribosomal RNA
Rfam family: Bacterial small subunit ribosomal RNA
Source: RNAcentral